AGAAAUUGAUGUUACAAAAGGAGAAAAUUUCCUUUCCGGUCUUACCAGUGACAGACUGAACCUGGAGACACAGGCCGGAAAGAUUGAGAAGUAAAUCAUGAUACUCUGA
Chroicocephalus ridibundus (black-headed gull) is the source of this 109-nucleotide long non-coding RNA. RefSeq lists it as uncharacterized. The transcript is spliced from 2 exons. Lineage: Eukaryota; Metazoa; Chordata; Aves; Charadriiformes; Laridae. The record is from RefSeq and is a predicted model, not a curated record.